CCUAACACGAAAUAAAAAUGUCUGAAGAGCACUGAAAGUAUCUUUCCUUGACUACCGUGAGCGUGCUUGAUUGAUCCACAUGGACGUAACGAGAUAACCGGAAUGCUCACAUUGUUUAAACACAUAUGUAAUAUAAGCAAGAACGAGCAUGGAUUCCUGGCAAUGCCACGGGACCAGGAUUAAGCAAAAGUAAAUACUCAAUUAUAUCUAAAAUUACGUCCAAAUCAUUAUGUUUGAUCGUUUAACGACGCGAAUGUAUCUAUAUAAGUGAACUUACAUUUGUAUUUUUAUCUUCUUUUUCUAUU
This is a long non-coding RNA of Vespula pensylvanica (western yellowjacket), 305 nucleotides long. RefSeq lists it as uncharacterized. The record is from RefSeq and is a predicted model, not a curated record. The transcript is spliced from 3 exons. Lineage: Eukaryota; Metazoa; Arthropoda; Insecta; Hymenoptera; Vespidae.